GACAGAGGGUGCAAACGUUGUUCGGAAUUACUGGGCGUAAAGCGCAUGUAGGUGGCUUGGCAAGUCGGAUGUGAAAGCCCACGGCUCAACCGUGGAAGUGCAUUCGAAACUGCCUCGCUAGAGUCCCGGAGAGGAAAGUGGAAUUGGUGGUGUAGAGGUGAAAUUCGUAGAUAUCACUAGGAACACCGGCGGCGAAAGCGGCUUUCUGGACGAGGACUGACACUGAGAUGCGAAAGCGUGGGGAGCAAACAGG
RNAcentral lists this ribosomal RNA (253 nucleotides) under uncultured bacterium. RNAcentral's name for it is "partial 16S ribosomal RNA". It matches the Rfam family "Bacterial small subunit ribosomal RNA", at positions 524 to 776 of the family's 1533-position model. The record is from RNAcentral.